This 304-nucleotide ribosomal RNA is filed under the name uncultured bacterium. RNAcentral's name for it is "partial 16S ribosomal RNA". It matches the Rfam family "Bacterial small subunit ribosomal RNA", at positions 509 to 807 of the family's 1533-position model. The record is from RNAcentral.
CAGCAGUCGCCGCGGGAAUACGGAGGGGGCUAGCGUUGUUCGGAAUUACUGGGCGUAAAGCGCACGUAGGCGGCUUGGUAAGUUAGAGGUGAAAGCCUGGAGCUCAACUCCAGAAUUGCCUUUAAGACUGCCGAGCUAGCAGGUGAGAGAGGUAAGUGGAAUUCCGAGUGUAGAGGUGAAAUUCGUAGAUACUCGGAAGAACACCAGUGGCGAAGGCGGCUUACUGGCUCAUACUGGACGCUGAGGUGCGAAAGCGUGGGGAGCAAACAGGAUUAGAUACCCCUGUAGUCCCUGUCUCUUAUAC